UGAGUAGUGGUGAAAGGGGAAGGGGUUUAUAAAUAGAAAAAGAAAUUUUGAAGAAAGGUUUUAGUAAGAAACAUUCGGCUGGUCAAAUAAGGGGUAAUUGGGUGUUUGAUUGGUGAAAGUGUUUUAUUUGUUUGAGGAGAGUGGUAGUGGUGUUUUAAUUUCCUAGGUGAAAAAGUAUGAUUUGAUGGGUAAAACGUUUUUUUUUUAAUUUGAAAAAUGGUGGACGGUUGGGGAGAUAGGGAAGGGUUAAAAUGGGGGUAUGGGGUUGUAGUUUUCUAGGUGAAAAGUUGGAUGUGAUAGGUGAAAGAUUAGGAUUUGAUAGGUGAAAGGUUGAUGGGUGUAGGGUUUUUUUUUUUAUAUUUGAAAAGGGGUGGACGAUUGGGGGUAAAAAUUUGGGUUUUUGAUUUUUGAUUUUUUUGAUUUUUUUAUUGGGAAUGGUGGUUUCUUUUUUUAUUUUAUUUUUUUUGGGGGGGUUUGAAUUUGGGUAGGUAUGAUAUGUUUGGGUUUGGUUAAUGGGUUAGCUUUGGUAUUGGAUUGGUUUAAAUGAGGGAUUUAAUUUUGUCUUGGAAUGUCUCCCUGUAAAAUAAUAAAUAAUAAAAAUAAAUAAUAAGGAAAAAUUAAAAUUAAAAUGUGUAUUUUUUUUAUUUCUUGAACUUAUUAGCU
RNAcentral lists this long non-coding RNA (663 nucleotides) under Gossypium raimondii (Peruvian cotton). Its description in RNAcentral is "long non-coding RNA (GRAI_LNC007203)". Lineage: Eukaryota; Viridiplantae; Streptophyta; Magnoliopsida; Malvales; Malvaceae. The record is from RNAcentral.